Molecule: transfer RNA, 75 nt
Filed under: Elusimicrobia bacterium CG1_02_63_36
Lineage: Bacteria; Pseudomonadati; Elusimicrobiota
Also listed under: 3 other names
Description: tRNA-Asn
Rfam family: tRNA
About the family: Transfer RNA (tRNA) molecules are approximately 80 nucleotides in length.
Source: RNAcentral
UCCGGCGAAGCUCAGAGGUCGAGCGAUCGGCUGUUAACCGAUGUGUCGUAGGUUCGAAUCCUACCGCCGGAGCCA